This 420-nucleotide ribosomal RNA is filed under the name uncultured bacterium. RNAcentral's name for it is "bacterial SSU rRNA". It matches the Rfam family "Bacterial small subunit ribosomal RNA", at positions 356 to 773 of the family's 1533-position model. The record is from RNAcentral.
AAGGAAUAUUGGUCAAUGGACGAAAGUCUGAACCAGCCAUGCCGCGUGAAGGAUGAAGGCCCUCUGGGUUGUAAACUUCUUUUAUAGGGGACGAAAAAAGCUCAUUCUUGAGCACUUGACGGUACCCUAGGAAUGAGCACCGGCUAACUCCGUGCCAGCAGCCGCGGUAAUACGGAGGGUGCAAGCGUUAUCCGGAUUUACUGGGUUUAAAGGGUGCGUAGGUGGGCAGUUAAGUCAGCGGUGAAAUCUCCGGGCUUAACCCGGAAACUGCCAUUGAUACUAUCUGUCUUGAAUAUCCUGGAGGUGAGCGGAAUAUGUCAUGUAGCGGUGAAAUGCUUAGAUAUGACAUAGAACACCAAUUGCGAAGGCAGCUCGCUACGGGAUUAUUGACACUGAGGCACGAAAGCGUGGGGAUCAAAC